CUAAUCAUGUAUAUAUCAUGAUAUAUAUUUAUAUGAUUUUUUAAAUUUUCAUUAGGAAUACAGUUUCCCAAAGAGAAUUCUUCACAUUGUGGGAAAGCAAGAGAGCCUGGUGAUGCCAGCACGUUAUCCUAGACGCUGUGGGUACUCCCUUAGUUUAUCACAACAGCAAAGUUGGAGUGAAUGUCUUAUUGUAUGAUCAUAGAGAAGAAAAUCUCCAUAGUUCCAAAUGCUGAUGAAAACUUAUUAAGGAAUUGGUCAGGAAGUAGAUGAGAAGGGAUAGUGUGAUCUGUUAUUACCAUCUCCACUUUGAGACCACUUUAGCUUUUGACCAGCCUACGUCACUGAGGGUCAAGCAGUUGGUUCAGUUUUCAUUGGAAUAUUUAUGUGGGUAAAGCUUCCUGUUUGCUGCAUUUUCCUAGGAUUUUUUUAUCCCACAACUACAAUGUGAACAAAGAGAUGGGAGAGAAAUUAUGCUAAUGCAUUUUGGUGGAUCAAAUGAGUGUUUCAUGAGACAACUCAAGUUUUUGUAAGCUAUAUGGUGUUGGAAUAUAAUUUCAAAGACAACUAAGCCCUAAAAUAGGUAAUUUAUUUAAAACAUAACUUCCUUGAAUGGAAGGAUUUUUUUUGUUCUUUCUCUGAGAAAUAUGAUUUGAGAAUAAAAGGAAAUAUAUAACCGU
This 677-nucleotide long non-coding RNA is filed under the name Rhinopithecus bieti (black snub-nosed monkey). RNAcentral describes it as "lncRNA (ENSRBIG00000045124.1)". The record is from RNAcentral. Lineage: Eukaryota; Metazoa; Chordata; Mammalia; Primates; Cercopithecidae.